UUCGCCCUUAGAGUUUGAUCCUGGCUCAGGAUGAACGCUAGCUACAGGCUUAACACAUGCAAGUCGAGGGGCAGCAUGACGAUUGCUUGCAAUUGUUGAUGGCGACCGGCGCACGGGUGAGUAACGCGUAUCCAACCUUCCCUCUACUCAGGGAUAGCCCAGCGAAAGUUGGAUUAAUACCUGAUGUUGUCGUUUGAUCGCAUGAGAUGAUGACCAAAGAUUUAUCGGUAGAGGAUGGGGAUGCGUCUGAUUAGCUUGUUGGCGGGGUAACGGCCCACCAAGGCGACGAUCAGUAGCCGGACUGAGAGGUUGAUCGGCCACAUUGGGACUGAGACACGGCCCAGACUCCUACGGGAGGCAGCAGUGGGGGAUAUUGCACAAUGGGCGAAAGCCUGAUGCAGCGACGCCGCGUGAGGGAAGACGGUUUUCGGAUUGUAAACCUCUGUCUUCGGGGACGAAAAAGGACGGUACCCGAGGAGGAAGCCACGGCUAACUACGUGCCAGCAGCCGCGGUAAUACGUAGGUGGCAAGCGUUGUCCGGAAUUACUGGGUGUAAAGGGAGAGUAGGCGGGAUUGCAAGUCCGUUGUUAAAUCUAUCGGCUCAACCGGUAGCUGCGGCGGAAACUGUAGUUCUUGAGUGAAGUAGAGGCAGGCGGAAUUCCUAGUGUAGCGGUGAAAUGCGUAGAUAUUAGGAGGAACACCAGUGGCGAAGGCGGCCUGCUGGGCUUUAACUGACGCUGAGGCUCGAAAGUGUGGGGAGCAAACAGGAUUAGAUACCCUAGUAGUCCACGCCCUAAACGAUGAUUACUAAAAGUUGGGGGAAACUCAGUGUUUGUAGCUAACGCAAUAAGUAAUCCGCCUGGGGAGUAUGCACGCAAGUGUGAAACUUAAAGGAAUUGACGGGGCCCCGCACAAGCGGUGGAGUAUACGGUUUAAUUUGACGCAACGCGAAGAACCUUACCAGGCCUUGACAUCCCUUGCAAAACUAUAGAGAUAUAGCAGAGGUUAUCAAGGUGACAGGUGGUGCAUGGUUGUCGUCAGCUCGUGUCGUGAGAUGUUGGGUUAAGUCCCGCAACGAGCGCAACCCUUGUCCUUAGUUACCAUCAUUUAGUUGGGGACUCUAAGGAGACUGCCGAUGUAAAUCGGAGGAAGGUGGGGAUGACGUCAAAUCAUCAUGCCCUUUAUGUCCUGGGCGACACACGUGCUACAAUGGCCGGUACAAAGAGAUGCAAUAUCGCGAGAUGGAGCAAAACUCAUAAAGCCGGUCUCAGUUCAGAUUGAAGUCUGCAACUCGACUUCAUGAAGUCGGAAUUGCUAGUAAUCGCAGAUCAGCCAUGCUGCGGUGAAUACGUUCCCGGGCCUUGUACACACCGCCCGUCA
RNAcentral lists this ribosomal RNA (1380 nucleotides) under uncultured bacterium. Its description in RNAcentral is "16S ribosomal RNA". It matches the Rfam family "Bacterial small subunit ribosomal RNA". The record is from RNAcentral.